GACGAACGCUGGCGGCGUGCCUAACACAUGCAAGUUGAGCGACGAACCAGGGCUUGCCCUGGGGCAAAGCAGCGAACGGGUGAGUAACACGUGGGUAACCUACCCCGAUAACCGGGACAACCCGAGGAAACUCGGGCUAAUACCGGAUGUGCUCACUGGACUUCGGUUCAGUGCGUAAAGGAAGCUUCGGCCUCCGUAUCGGGAGGGGCCCGCGGCCCAUUAGUUUGUUGGUGAGGUAACGGCUCACCAAGACCGCGAUGGGUAGCUGGUCUGAGAGGACGAUCAGCCACACUGGGACUGAGAAACGGCCCAGACUCCUACGGGAGGCAGCAGUGGGGAAUCUUGCGCAAUGCGCGAAAGCGUGACGCAGCAACGCCGCGUGGGGGAAGAAGGCCUUCGGGUUGUAAACCCCUUUCAGGAGGGACGAAGGUUCGGCGGUGAAUAGCCGUCCGGACUGACGGUACCUCCACAAGAAGCCCCGGCUAACUACGUG
This 493-nucleotide ribosomal RNA is filed under the name uncultured bacterium. RNAcentral describes it as "partial 16S ribosomal RNA". It matches the Rfam family "Bacterial small subunit ribosomal RNA", at positions 28 to 507 of the family's 1533-position model. The record is from RNAcentral.